GUGCUGUUUUUCACAGCACAUAUUCUAAAAUUGGAAACAUACGCAAGAUUAUUCUGAACCUUGAGCAAGGAUGAUGCACAGAUUCACAAAGUGUUCCAUAUUUUU
This 105-nucleotide small nuclear RNA is filed under the name Procavia capensis (Cape rock hyrax). The record is from RNAcentral. Lineage: Eukaryota; Metazoa; Chordata; Mammalia; Hyracoidea; Procaviidae.